Molecule: ribosomal RNA, 253 nt
Filed under: uncultured bacterium
Lineage: Bacteria
Description: partial 16S ribosomal RNA
Rfam family: Bacterial small subunit ribosomal RNA
Source: RNAcentral
UACGAAGGGGGCUAGCGUUGCUCGGAAUCACUGGGCGUAAAGCGCACGUAGGCGGAUUGUUAAGUCAGGGGUGAAAUCCCAGAGCUCAACUCUGGAACUGCCUUUGAUACUGGCGAUCUUGAGUCCGGAAGAGGUGAGUGGAACUCCGAGUGUAGAGGUGAAAUUCGUAGAUAUUCGGAAGAACACCAGUGGCGAAGGCGGCUCACUGGUCCGGUACUGACGCUGAGGAGCGAAAGCGUGGGGAGCGAACAGG